Molecule: ribosomal RNA, 417 nt
Filed under: uncultured bacterium
Lineage: Bacteria
Description: partial 16S ribosomal RNA
Rfam family: Bacterial small subunit ribosomal RNA
Source: RNAcentral
UGGGGAAUAUUGGACAAUGGGGGCAACCCUGAUCCAGCAAUGCCGCGUGUGUGAAGAAGGUCUUCGGAUUGUAAAGCACUUUCGACGGGGACGAUGAUGACGGUACCCGUAGAAGAAGCCCCGGCUAACUUCGUGCCAGCAGCCGCGGUAAUACGAAGGGGGCUAGCGUUGCUCGGAAUGACUGGGCGUAAAGAGCGUGUAGGCGGUUUACACAGUCAGAUGUGAAAUCCCCGGGCUUAACCUGGGAGCUGCAUUUGAUACGUGUAGACUAGAGUGUGAGAGAGGGUUGUGGAAUUCCCAGUGUAGAGGUGAAAUUCGUAGAUAUUGGGAAGAACACCGGUGGCGAAGGCGGCAACCUGGCUCAUGACUGACGCUGAGGCGCGAAAGCGUGGGGAGCAAACAGGAUUAGAUACCCUG